CUGCUUUAGCGGCCUAGGCCGGCUGCUGUUGCUGUGGAAACUGACACCCUUGCUUCCAGGAGCAUUCACUCCAUCAUGGUGAGAAAGGCAUAUCUUUGCCAGCAGAGGAAUGUGAGCUAAAGUGGCUGGCCGCAGCAAGGCUAAACCAGAAAGUGGAGAAGUGGACCAGAGAAGAGGAGAGUAAAGUGAUACUAAAUAAGUAUAGGGAGUUGCACGAGUUCCCACCAUCGGAAAUUGAGUGCAUCAGCGUUUGUGCUGAAACCAUGUGUGUUCUGAACUGUGUUCUUGACUCCAGCUCCAGUCUCCAGAUAUCCAUGUCUGCUUAUUUGCCAAAUAAUCAUCUUCACAGCAAAAGAAAAUACCUUGAGGUCACAGAAGACAGAAGGAGGCAAAGUACGGUGCUCUUGAGUAAAAAGUCUUUGAAGUCGGUGUAGUA
Non-coding RNA from Peromyscus maniculatus bairdii (prairie deer mouse), 436 nucleotides. NCBI's taxonomy places the organism in Eukaryota, Metazoa, Chordata, Mammalia, Rodentia, Cricetidae. The record is from RefSeq and is a predicted model, not a curated record.